GUUCGGUUCUGCUGUUGUUGCUGCUGUUAAUCACAUCCAGAACUGAACAAUGUUCAUUCUAACAGUUAGGAUUUGUUUCUGCUGAUGUUAACUUCCCUGAUAACUGGGCUGAAGCUUAAUAUUCUGGACAGAGAUCAAAUAAAUCUUGAUGACAAGCUAAUUGAUCAGCCAGAGUCAAUCCGAAUGGUGGAGCAGGCUCGAAGGGCUGAAUGACCUGCUCCAGUUCCUGUGUAGUUUCUGCCCAGACUUCUCUCACUCUCUAACUCUGCUCCAGUGCUGGUUUCUGGUGAGGUGUCUUCUCCCCAGUUCUCCCAUGACUUUCCAUUGAUCAGCUGGUGUUUGAGUCCCAGUUUAUUAGGGACAGGAGAAGGUAAUUUACCCGCUCGAGCCUGUUCUGUCAUUCAUUGUAGUCAUGGCUGAUCUGUGAUCUAACUGCAUUUACCCAGAUAUUAUUUUAAUCCUAGUUUCCCAGUCUGUUACAGUUUGAUUAAAAAAUAACUUUUAUUUACAUCUCACCUAUCGGAGAAUGUCCCAAGGCGAAGCAGAAACUGACAUCCAAAAAAAAAUUGACAUGGAGUCAAAGAAGGAGAUGUUAGGAGGGCUGACUAAAGGCUUAGUGUAGUGUAAAGGGUUAAUAUUAAAUAUGUAAAUCUUCCACAUCAUCAUUGAUGUAAGAUCAUGUGACAAGUGUGCUGAGAAAUGGUUCUCUGUGAAGCCUCGUGCUCAGCCUUGUACUGUACAUAGAAGAAUGUGCAAUGAAAGGUUAAAUUUACCAACAGCUUUGCCCCAAGCAGUCUCUAUCGAUCCUAACCAAUUUCCUUGUCUGUUUGAUCUAAACCUGUCCGAAUGGUGUUCACCUCUGUCACCUCUACAUUAGCCUCCUUUUUUCCAAGGAGAACAACUCCAGCAUCUCGAACCUGACCUUUUGGCUAAAAUCCCUCAUUGCUGAAACCAUUCUGGUAAAUCUGCUCUGCACCCUCUCAAGGACCAUCACAUCCUUCCUAAAGUGUCGUGACUAUACAUGGAUACAAUCAUCCCAUUGUGCUUUAAACAGAGCUUUAUAACUUACCUACUUUUAACAAAAUGGCUCUGUUGCAAGCCAACUUAAUAUCUACCUUUUUAAUGUACAAUCACUUUUUCACUGUUUCUUUAUUUCUUUUAUAUUAAUCAAUGUAGACCGGUUGUGGUGUAACCCUGUGUGUGGAAUCUGUCUCAUGGUGGUAACAUGGAACAUCAAGGUGAAAGAAGAACCCAAACUGAAGCUAUUUGAAGAAAUGUACUAAACUGCAGUGUAGGCUCAAAAAACAAAGCAUGAUGGUCAAUUUAGUCAAGUCACAGCCUUGCCAGAAUUAGCAAUGUCUGCAAGAUGAAUUAAAUUGUGCAGGAGAAAUGGCCUCGAACUGUGAGAAAGAUAGGCCCCUUUGGUGCUCGUCAGAGGUAAUAAAGAUGUCUGUCUGUACCAGCCUGGGGAUUGAUAACAGUGUUGGAGAUAACAAAGUAGAGUCAGGCUGGUUCUAUUCCUUCAAGCAUGACGAGGCCCAGGACAUAAGGACAAGGGAGAAGGCAAUGAUAUUGAAAACCAAUUUUUAAAAAUUAUUCGUUCAUGGGAUACGAACGUUGCUGUGAGAAUUUAUUUCCCAGCCCCAAUUGCCUUUGUUCAGAGACAUUUAAGAGUCAACCAUAUUGCUGUGGGACUGGAGUCACAUGUAGGCCAGACCAGGGACACCAACUUCGAAGGGAAGUUUUCCUCCAUCCACCAAAAGAGGCACCAAAUGCAGAAGGGACUCUCUGGAAGCUAAAUGAAAGCCUAUACCGUUUAAAUGUCACCUUCAGAGUUUGGCAUUUCUCAGUGAGGUCAGUUUUGUUAAAGUUGGCAUGUCUUCAGUUGGAAGCAGACCUGGCAAUGUUUUAUUGGCACCAUGGAGGGAACUUGCAGGCAUCCUUAUUUUUUUGUGGGAUGGUAGUAGCGAAUUUGAAACCAUUGUCAUUAAUGGGCUCAGAACGGAGGUUAAAAUUGGAAGUCAGGCUUUUGUUGCAUUUAAGUACAUUGGAUUGGAAAUCAGGCAGAGAGGAUCACACAUCCUUUUACAUCAGCAAUCCUACUUAGAGAACAUCAAUCUCAUUGCAAUUAGUCAUGGUAGGGUCUCCCAGAAAGAUACAGCAGCUUCUGAAAUGGGAAAAAAGGAACUCAGAUGUCUAAUUGGGAAACUCAAUUGGCUAGGCAAACAAACAAGGCUGGAUGUCAGUUUUGACGUUUUGGAAUUGAGCACUAAACUGAACAAUCCGAAGGUUGAAGAAAUCAUUCAGGAAAACAAAACAUUGGCAAAAUUAAAAAUGGAGCAGUGUGUUUUGAAAUUCCCAUCUUUGAGUGAUGUUAGAAAAAUGAAACUGAUUGUGUUCAGUGAUGCAUCUCAUGCAAAUCUUUGUGAUGGAUUUUCGAGUGCGGGAGGAUUUAUGAUAUUUCUCAGAGGGAAAAAGGCAAAUGCUGCCUUUUGGCAUAGGAAUCUUAAAAUAUAUGAAGAGUUGUAAAAAGUGUGUUAGCAGCAGAGACUCUCGCCCUUGUUGAGGCAGUAGAUAUGGCAUUCUUCAUAUCAAAGAUACUGGCAGAAGUUUUAAAUGGAAAAGGGUAUUCAGGAACAGCACCUAUCGAAUGUCUUGUAGAUAAUAAGUCACUCUGGGAAAAUGUUCACUCUACAAAGUGCGUUAAUGAGAAAAGAUUGCGAAUUGACAUUGCAAACUUAAAACAGAUGUUUCAGAAGAAGGAGAUUGCCAAGAUCGAAUGGAUUGAUAGCAGCUACCAAUUAUCUGACUGCUUCACCAAAAGAGGAGCGAGCUCCAGAAGUUACUUAGAGGUCCUCAAAGAGGGAUGUCUUUUUCUUUAAGAAAAACAAACUCCUUUUCUGUGGAAAUAUCUAUACAUAUGUUUUUUUUAAGGAGGGAAAUAAGGUGAAUUUAUUGAAUGAAAAAAUAUAUAUUGAUGUUUGUUCGUACUUUUUUUGUGAUUAUGUCAACUUAAGAGUAACUUUCUUUAUAAGAGGGGAAUCUGUUAGGGAAGGACAUGGUUAAAGAAGUUCAGUUGCUAAUUAUUAGGUUCUUUAACUAAGUACCAUUUGGUUGGACAAAAGGGUUAACAGCUGAGACUAGUGGGAGCUGUGGAGAGAUUUGACAAACAAUAAAAAUCUGUCUGAA
Long non-coding RNA from Carcharodon carcharias (great white shark), 3189 nucleotides. RefSeq lists it as uncharacterized. The transcript has 2 exons. NCBI's taxonomy places the organism in Eukaryota, Metazoa, Chordata, Chondrichthyes, Lamniformes, Lamnidae. The record is from RefSeq and is a predicted model, not a curated record.